UCGGGAAUUUUGGGCAAUGGGCGAAAGCCUGACCCAGCAACGCCGCGUGAGGGAUGAAGUAUUUCGGUAUGUAAACCUCGAAAGAAUGGGAAGAAUAAAUGACGGUACCAUUUAUAAGCUCCGGCUAACUACGUGCCAGCAGCCGCGGUAAUACGUAGGGAGCAAGCGUUGUUCGGAUUUACUGGGCGUAAAGGGCGCGUAGGCGGCGCGGUAAGUCACUUGUGAAAUCUCUGAGCUUAACUCAGAACGGCCAAGUGAUACUGCUGUGCUAGAGUGCGGAAGAGGCAACCGGAAUUCUUGGUGUAGCGGUGAAAUGCGUAGAUAUCAAGAGGAACACCUGAGGCGAAGGCGAGUUGCUGGGCCGACACUGACGCUGAUGCGCGAAAGCCAGGGGAGCAAACG
This 402-nucleotide ribosomal RNA is filed under the name uncultured bacterium. Its description in RNAcentral is "bacterial SSU rRNA". It matches the Rfam family "Bacterial small subunit ribosomal RNA", at positions 355 to 774 of the family's 1533-position model. The record is from RNAcentral.